RNAcentral lists this ribosomal RNA (292 nucleotides) under uncultured bacterium. Its description in RNAcentral is "partial 16S ribosomal RNA". It matches the Rfam family "Bacterial small subunit ribosomal RNA", at positions 505 to 796 of the family's 1533-position model. The record is from RNAcentral.
GUGCCAGCAGCCGCGGUAAUACGAAGGGGGCUAGCGUUGUUCGGAAUUACUGGGCGUAAAGCGCGCGCAGGCGGCCUUUCAAGUCAGGGGUGAAAGCCCGGAGCUCAACUCCGGAAUUGCCUUUGAAACUGUCAGGCUCGAGUACGGGAGAGGUGAGUGGAAUUCCCAGUGUAGAGGUGAAAUUCGUAGAUAUUGGGAAGAACACCGGUGGCGAAGGCGGCUCACUGGCCCGUUUCUGACGCUCAGGCGCGACAGCGUGGGGAUCAAACAGGAUUAGAUACCCGUGUAGUCC